GACGAACGCUGGCGGCGUGCCUAAUACAUGCAAGUAGAACGCUGAAGGAGGAGCUUGCUUCCCUGGAUGAGUUGCGAACGGGUGAGUAACGCGUAGGUAACCUGCCUGGUAGCGGGGGAUAACUCUUGGAAACGAUAGCUAAUAUCGCAUAAUAGUAGAUGUUGCAUGACAUUUGCUUAAAAGGUGCAAUUGCAUCACUACCAGAUGGACCUGCGUCGUAUUAGCUAGUUGGUGAGGUAACGGCUCACCAAGGCAACGAUACAUAGCCGACCUGGGAGGGGGGUCGGCCACAAUGGGACUGGGACACGGGCCCAACUCCUACGGGAGGCAGCAGUAGGGAAUCUUCGGGAAUGGACGGAAAUCUGAACGGGCAACGCCGCGUGAGUGAAGGAGGGUUUCGGAUCGUAAAGCUCUGUUGUAAGAGAAGAACGAGUGUGAGAGUGGAAAGUUCACACUGUGACGGUAUCUUACCAGAAAGGGACGGCUAACUACGUG
RNAcentral lists this ribosomal RNA (495 nucleotides) under uncultured bacterium. RNAcentral describes it as "partial 16S ribosomal RNA". It matches the Rfam family "Bacterial small subunit ribosomal RNA", at positions 28 to 507 of the family's 1533-position model. The record is from RNAcentral.